Molecule: ribosomal RNA, 253 nt
Filed under: uncultured bacterium
Lineage: Bacteria
Description: partial 16S ribosomal RNA
Rfam family: Bacterial small subunit ribosomal RNA
Source: RNAcentral
UACGAAGGGGGCUAGCGUUGCUCGGAAUUACUGGGCGUAAAGGGAGCGUAGGCGGACAUUUAAGUCAGGGGUGAAAUCCCGGAGCUCAACUCCGGAACUGCCCUUGAUACUGGGUGUCUUGAGUGUGAGAGAGGUAUGUGGAACUCCGAGUGUAGAGGUGAAAUUCGUAGAUAUUCGGAAGAACACCAGUGGCGAAGGCGACAUACUGGCUCAUUACUGACGCUGAGGCUCGAAAGCGUGGGGAGCGAACAGG